UGACCUCGGAUCAGGUAGGGAUACCCGCUGAACUUAAGCAUAUCAAUAAGCGGAGGAAAAGAAACCAACCGGGAUUGCCUCAGUAACGGCGAGUGAAGCGGCAAGAGCUCAAAUUUGAAAUCUGGCCCCUCCGGGGUCCGAGUUGUAAUUUGCAGAGGAUGCUUCGGGUGCGGCCCCUGUCUAAGUGCCCUGGAACGGGCCGUCAGAGAGGGUGAGAAUCCCGUCUUGGGCAGGGUGCCCGUGCCCGUGUGAAGCUCCUUCGACGAGUCGAGUUGUUUGGGAAUGCAGCUCUAAAUGGGUGGUAAAUUUCAUCUAAAGCUAAAUACCGGCCGGAGACCGAUAGCGCACAAGUAGAGUGAUCGAAAGAUGAAAAGCACUUUGAAAAGAGAGUUAAACAGCACGUGAAAUUGUUGAAAGGGAAGCGCUUGCGACCAGACUCGGCCCCGGGGUUCAGCCAGCACUCGUGCUGGUGUACUUCCCCGGGGGCGGGCCAGCGUCGGUUUGGGCGGCCGGUCAAAGGCCCCAGGAAUGUGUCGCCCUCCGGGGCGUCUUAUAGCCUGGGGUGCAAUGCGGCCAGCCCGGACCGAGGAACGCGCUUCGGCACGGACGCUGGCGUAAUGGUCGCAAACGACC
This 633-nucleotide ribosomal RNA is filed under the name Aspergillus pseudodeflectus. Its description in RNAcentral is "eukaryotic LSU rRNA". It matches the Rfam family "Eukaryotic large subunit ribosomal RNA", at positions 1 to 649 of the family's 3401-position model. Lineage: Eukaryota; Fungi; Ascomycota; Eurotiomycetes; Eurotiales; Aspergillaceae. The record is from RNAcentral.